UGCAGUCUUCUUGGACCAAAGCUUUUGUUGUGACUUUUUGUGACAUUCCUUGCAUACACUUUUACCCAAUACGCUUCAUUGAAGGUGGUGGAGUUGUUGGGUCAAAUGGCAAUGAAAGAUUGAUGAAAUUUAAUGCCAAGGGAGAACUGCUUGAGCAUCACAAAUAUGAGCAUAAGUACAAAAAUGUUCAAACCUAUUUUGAUUUAUUUAGAAAGAAUGGGUACAAAAACAGUCAAAUAUAUUUUGAAAUGUACAGAGAGAGUUUGCUAUUAUUUCCUGGUGAACAACCACUCCUUCGUGUAACAUCACUCCCUCGUGACUUUAAGGAAGCAACUGAAAAUGAGGAAGAGGAAGCUAGUGGUUUGUCACUCGAUAGUGUAAAAUCACUCACUUGUGACUUCAAGGAAGCAGCUGAAGAGGUGGAAGCAGCAGAAGAUGAGGAAGAGGAAGCAUCUGAUGACAAAGAAGAGGAAUCUACUGAAGAUGAGCAAGAGGAAUCAACUGAAGAUGACAAUAUAUAACUGUCCAAAAAAGAAAAAUUAGUUAGCACUUAGGUGGCUUUACAAUUCCUGGCUUUUUUUUUCUUUAAUGUUCUGUUCGAUGUUUUGACUUGAAGUUGUGGAGAUAGUGGUCUUAACCAUAUGUGAGCUUGGAGAUGGGAUAAAGUGAAAGGGUUGAAACUAAUCAAGUAUUGUCGUAUUGAUAUGAAUUGUUUUGACCAUUUUGUCAUAUUGAUCUAGUAUUUUAUAAGUUUCAUGAUUAUCCCUAAAGAUGCUUUGUUUUGUAUGCCUAUGGCAAGGACAGUGCAAUGGAUGAAAGAAGUUAGUGUUUCAGCUCAA
Long non-coding RNA from Lotus japonicus, 839 nucleotides. RefSeq lists it as uncharacterized. Lineage: Eukaryota; Viridiplantae; Streptophyta; Magnoliopsida; Fabales; Fabaceae. The transcript has 2 exons. The record is from RefSeq and is a predicted model, not a curated record.